Molecule: transfer RNA, 76 nt
Filed under: Planctomycetota bacterium
Lineage: Bacteria; Pseudomonadati; Planctomycetota
Description: Planctomycetes bacterium (bioreactor metagenome) tRNA-Phe
Rfam family: tRNA
About the family: Transfer RNA (tRNA) molecules are approximately 80 nucleotides in length. Their secondary structure includes four short double-helical elements and three loops (D, anti-codon, and T loops). Further hydrogen bonds mediate the characteristic L-shaped molecular structure. tRNAs have two regions of fundamental functional importance: the anti-codon, which is responsible for specific mRNA codon recognition, and the 3' end, to which the tRNAs corresponding amino acid is attached (by aminoacyl-tRNA synthetases). tRNAs cope with the degeneracy of the genetic code in two manners: having more than one tRNA (with a specific anti-codon) for a particular amino acid; and 'wobble' base-pairing, i.e. permitting non-standard base-pairing at the 3rd anti-codon position.
Source: RNAcentral
GGCCAGGUAGCUCAGUCGGUAGAGCACUUGAUUGAAAAUCAAGGGGUCCCCGGUUCAAGUCCGGGUCUGGCCACCA